Molecule: ribosomal RNA, 480 nt
Filed under: uncultured Allobrachymonas sp.
Lineage: Bacteria; Pseudomonadati; Pseudomonadota; Betaproteobacteria; Burkholderiales; Comamonadaceae
Description: bacterial SSU rRNA
Rfam family: Bacterial small subunit ribosomal RNA
Source: RNAcentral
AAACUUAAAGGAAUUGACGGGACCCGCACAAGCGGUGGAUGAUGUGGUUUAAUUCGAUGCAACGCGAAAACCUUACCCACCUUUGACAUGGCAGGAAUCCCGAAGAGAUUUGGGAGUGCUCGAAAGAGAACCUGCACACAGGUGCUGCAUGGCUGUCGUCAGCUCGUGUCGUGAGAUGUUGGGUUAAGUCCCGCAACGAGCGCAACCCUUGCCAUUAGUUGCUACGAAAGGGGCACUCUAAUGGGACUGCCGGUGACAAACCGGAGGAAGGUGGGGAUGACGUCAAGUCCUCAUGGCCCUUAUAGGUGGGGCUACACACGUCAUACAAUGGCCGGUACAGAGGGUAGCCAACCCGCGAGGGGGAGCCAAUCCCACAAAGCCGGUCGUAGUCCGGAUCGCAGUCUGCAACUCGACUGCGUGAAGUCGGAAUCGCUAGUAAUCGCGGAUCAGCAUGCCGCGGUCGAAUACGUUCCGGGCCUU